GGGAAACGAGCCCUGUUAUUGGUUUGUAAUCUAUGCUGCAGAGUAAUACGGGCAGCCUUUCCCAACUGUCACCCUUCCCUGAAGAUUUCCGUCUCAUUUAGUCAGCUGUGGUGGAGUGUGGAUUCAGCCUCCCCUUUUUAUGGAGGAGGAGUGGGAACAGUGAUGCCUUCUUUAGACCAAAGAAAGCCUGUUUCUUGAUCUACAUUUAAGACAUCAUUUAAACUUAAGAGACUGAGAUAAUGUAGACAGAUUCAAUCUUAAUUUGCAGAACAUUAUAGGAACAUGGUAAUCCCAGAGCAUUUUUAAAGAAGUGAGAUUUUUAUGAAACUCUUUUACUGUCUUGCAUUGUGAGAUGAGAAGGAUGCCAACUUUUACGUCUCUGCAAUAGAAAUACAUGCUAAAUUUAAUUUCAUGACACUGUACAAAUAUAUGCGUGCUUUUCUUUAUAAGGUUAGGUGAGUCAGGCCAAGAGUAUUUAAACACUUAUUUCUAUUUAUUUAUUUUUUUUUUUGUGAAAAAAACAACCUGCUACUGUUGACCUAAUUUUGUCUUUUGGUAAGGGCAAUUCUGUUCAUAACUAUUGUUUUGUUUGCUUGAAUAUGCCUGUGCUCCUGAGCAAAUGUAAUAAAAGUACAGAAAGGCACAGCUGUCAGACUCUAGAUUGAAACAAUCCCCUGCUCACCCCUAAUGGUGGUGAAGGACUAAAAACUCCUGUGAUGCAGGGCAAGUAGUACUUGUCAAGCUUUUACAAUCAAAAGACAGAGAUAUAUUUCUUUGAAAAUACAAAAGGCUCAUUCCAAGAUGAUUAAAAAAAAAUAUUUUUUAAGUUCAGUUCAUCAAACACUGAUUGAAACAAACUGGAAUGUACAGCUCUGUUUUCUUAGAUGUCACUAAAUACUAAACACUGCACCUUUUAACCAUAUAGUUGAUCUCUUUUCAACACAGCUCUGACCAUUCUCAAAAUUAAAUGCAUUUUGCACCUGCAGACUCGAUAUGAAUACAAAUGAGAUUCAAUAAGAAGCAGGAAACCCGUGAUGUCGUCAGCGUCAGAGCAGACUGCUUGCUCUUGAGGCGGUGAUCACGUCACAGUGCCUGUCCUUCAGCGAGGAAGCAGACACUUACGUUUUUCACUCUGUGCACCUUGAGCAUUACUCACUGAAUGCUGUAAACAGCUUCAAUGUCUGUACUCCACUUCUAGUCUGCUUUUACUCUUUGACCCUUCUAUUCAGCGGAUGACGAAUGUCUCCACUGCAGUGAGUCACAGCUGUGUUGGUCAAGGGCAUCUUUUCAGAUCCAAUAAAAGGCAUAUAGGAGGGGAUUAGAAAUUGAAUUAAAUGUUUUUGUUUUUUUUAAAUCUAGUUUGCGCUUGCGUCUGUACACUGAGACAUUUCUUUCACAGGGAAACACCAACUGUGUGUGUGGAUGUGUGCUGUGCUGCUUGACUAACCAAAAAAAGGAGGAAGAGAGGGUGAGCGCAUUGUACUGUCAAUAUGCUUCUGUAUGAAAUGCUAAGGUGUGUUGGAUGACUCAUGCAAAGUAAAGCAGUUCACUUGGAUCCUCUUUUUCCUCUCCAUCUUUGCCUACACCCUAUGUAGCGACUGCUUUCCUUCGACAAAAAGGCAGCUGGGGUUUAGUUUCGCUUGCAUCUGUGACUCGUUCAAUCAUCAGUCCAGUUUGAGUGUUAAAAAGUGGUUUAUUGUUCCAAAAAAGAAAAGAAAAUACACUGAUCCAGGCCCAAAACUUUUGCCUUCGAAUGAAAAAGUGAUAAGAUGAGAUGAGGUUAAAACAGGAUGAGUGAAACGGUCAACAGAAAAUGAUCAGAGCUUACCACAACCAAUUGUUUGACUACACCAGUGAGAUUUAAAUAACCCACCAAACAUCCCAAAACCACAACCCU
Xyrichtys novacula (pearly razorfish) is the source of this 1897-nucleotide non-coding RNA. The record is from the annotation of a GenBank genome assembly. Lineage: Eukaryota; Metazoa; Chordata; Actinopteri; Labriformes; Labridae.